Molecule: ribosomal RNA, 251 nt
Filed under: uncultured prokaryote
Description: partial 16S rRNA
Rfam family: Bacterial small subunit ribosomal RNA
Source: RNAcentral
ACGGAGGGUGCAAGCGUUAAUCGGAAUCACUGGGCGUAAAGCGCUCGUAGGCUGUUUGGUAAGUCAGACGUGAAAUCCCGCGGCUUAACCGCGGAACUGCGUUUGAUACUGCCAGACUUGAGUGUCGGAGAGGGUGGCGGAAUUCCGGGUGUAGCGGUGAAAUCCGUAGAUAUGCGGAGGAACACCAAUGGCGAAGGCAGCCUCCUGGACGACAACUGACGCUGAUGAGCGAAAGCGUGGGGAGCAAACAG